Rhea pennata is the source of this 3716-nucleotide long non-coding RNA. RefSeq lists it as uncharacterized. The record is from RefSeq and is a predicted model, not a curated record. NCBI's taxonomy places the organism in Eukaryota, Metazoa, Chordata, Aves, Rheiformes, Rheidae. The transcript is spliced from 3 exons.
GGAGUCUUAAACUCAACCCCCCCCCCCCCCUUCCCCCCCUGGGUGCUUUUCCACUAACUUGCUUUGGUUCUCUGGCAUCUUUUACUCCUCAGUUCAGCCAUCUAAACAUCUCAUAGAAGAGCUUGUGCCACGCCUCUUGAAGGGGUACAGGGUAUGGGGCAGCUCAUCAACAUUAGUAGAUGGCAUCUUCAAAGGGAAGAUAGUGUUGAAAGGCUGCAGUAUUGUAACUGUUCUCCAGGUCAACAUGCAAUUUUUCUAGUUUUUAAUGUAUGCAGUUAGUGGCUUUUGUUGUUUCUUUUCUUUUUUCUUUUUCUUUUUUUUUUUUCCAGAGCUAUUACACUCUUCUUCCAGCUUGACAACCCAAAAGGUCCAGAAACAGCGUUUGGUACAACAAGGCCUCCUGGAAUGGCAUUAUCACUGCACAGACAUGAGGUGAUGAGACUGAAGAAGCAAAGGACAAGAGGGGAAAAUGCAUCCCCGGGUGAUAUUCACAUGGAGGUUUUCUAACUAUGGAAGAUCUCCUGAGGAUUUGCAUCAUGCGCUGCUGCCCCUAGAACAGUACGCAUCUAUUUGGGAGUGAUGAAGAACUGCAAUAUACUGCUGCAUAUUGCUUUAGUGAUGAGAGAGGCUCUCUGGCAUGUCACACAGCGCCAAAAUUCAUUCCAGUGUUGACAGCAAAAAUCCUUAUCAUUUUUGGGUCUUUUUCCAAGACAGCUGAUAUCUGCUGUGGAUUCUUUUUAUGCAAAUCAAGGUGGUAAAACAACAAAAAAAAAAAAGCCCUGAAAGCAGUCAUCAAGAUAAACUUGGACCAAUGGGGACAUUCCUGGUUAUCAUUUUUUAACUUCUUGGGGCUUUUUUAGCUCUGCACAACAUACUUCUUUCCCCACUCUUUCUUACAAUAGUUAAUUUUUGUCCUGGCAGACCUUUUAUUUAUGAAUUACAGUGCUUCUUGCAUUUUAUGUGGCUCCAUAUCAAUUGUCAUUAACAGUCGCUGUGUUUAAGCUUUGCUCUGCAUUGCUCUGGUGCUUCCUGAUGUUGAACCUCAUAUUGCAAAUUGCCAUAUGCCUGUAGUGAUGAUCUGUCCAGGAAGGUGUGCCCAGGACCCUUCAGGAAGCUCAGGAAAGUGAAGAAGAGAGAUGGAAAAGAAAAAGAAGACAGCUCUGAAAAUAUUUUGACUGAAGGAAUCAAGUCGAAGCAAUAUAGUUGGGGUCCCUUCUGUCUUAGGUUGCUGCAGUUCAAGAAGCGAAGCCUGGUUUCAUUGGAAAACUUGGCAAGGGUUUUGCUAGUGACUUAAAUAGGAGCAGGAUUUGGUCCUCCUGAAGCAGCUCCAGAGAUAUCAUGCUCACCAUGGCACUGAUGUGGUGACAAGAGCUUGGUCACCUCCUUGCCCUGGUGCAGCCAUCUCACAUCUGCCCUACUUACGCUGUAUAAGUAUUGCCAUAGCCCCACAACAGACUGAGUCGAGCUCUGCAUGUAUAGGGCUCCCGUUCCUGCUGCCCACCUCAGCAACAUGCUGAUGCUAGAGCAAGAGUGAGAAAUUGAGGAGGGACAAAAAAAAGACUUGUACAAGCAAUUCAAAAAACAGGACAUUUCAGAGCAAAAGAGAACUGCCCAACUUCAUGGCCUGGAGACUCUUCCAGCCUGUGUCCAGAGAUACUCACCGCAGUUUGAGUCACGUCGAGUCACACCGUGGUUGCUUUGGCAUUUGUGUGGGGAAUAGUGAUAGUCGUUGCAUGUGGUGCUGGGUUUUGUUUUUGUGUUUUUUAAAAUGCAAAAUUAACAGUCCAACUGUGUUGGUAGACAGCAAGCCUGUUACUGCUUUUAUCUAUCCAGAAUGUGGAGACAAAGAAGAGAAGUUGGCUUGACCAGUUUGGUGGCCAUGCAUGUAACGGUCUGGGAGCUGAAAGCAAAGAACACAACAGUCAGAUACACAAACCCAUCUGGGGUUCAACUGAUAAGUUGUAUUUAAAAGUGAAAGACAAUCCUAAAAGAGCUCUGUCAAGUGGCUGAAGCCUUGAAUGCUGAGUCUUUUUUAAAAGGGGAUUUCAUAAGGGCUAAGAUGAACAGAAAUGGCUCUUUUGUGGUUUUGUACAUUCCAGGCAUGCCAGGACAGUUCCUGUCAAGGAUGGGCAGUUUCUGGGGCUUGGGGUGGUUCUUCUUCUUCUUCUUCCUUUUUUUUUUUUUUUUUUUUUUCUUUUGCAAAGUAUUUGUCACAAACUAGCAACUUAAAUAGUGAAAAAUAAAUGAGAGCUGCAAAAUCAUUACAGUAGCAGUAAUGGAAAUUGUAAAGCUAAUACCUAAACUGGCUGUGGUGUUUCACCUGAUCAUCUGUCUCUGCUACUGUGUUGUUGAGAUCACUAGUAUUGCCCUCUAUGACUACUUCAUGACCGAUGAUUUAAAAGCAGAGCUUUAACUGUUGGUUACCCAGAACCUCAAAAGACUGAAUACCUUAGGCUUUUUUUCCAUGUACAGAAGUAAUACCAUUUCAGCUGAAACAUUGUUAAAUAUGCAUCCCCUUAGUGUCAGUGCAGUUCUGUAGUCAUACAAGAUGUUUAAUUGUGAGACUCGUAUUAAUUUCUGCAUAUUCAUGAGUACAAAAAUGGGAUAUAGGCAUUGUUGCUUAGAUGCACUUACUUUGGUUUCAAGCAGACUGUAUCAGGUUAGUUUGCACCUGUCCACUUGACCUAAGUGAGAUUUGAACUGAUUUAAGAGUUUCCACACACCAAAUGACUGUGUCUUAAAUAGUGCCUUAAAACAGUCUGAAGUCUCAUAUGCAGUAAAACAGGAGAUACUGCUUGUGGACCUGGCAUGUUAGAUGUUUAAUUCAUAAGCCUGCAUAACCUGUUCUUUCAGGUCUGUAUGCUGCUCCUCUCUCCAUGCUUGUGAGUGCCUUGUGGGUAGCAGGAGCUCACAGAUAGUCAAAAAAGUGCAUCCAGAGGCGUUACUGCAGCCCAGCUGCCAUUGCCUCACUAGCAGUGUCGUGGAGAGUACGGCUAUAAGAGCAUGGAAUUAACUGUGGGGGUCAAAACUCCCUGGGGGACCCUACAUAAACACUCUACAUCUUUCAUCUGCAUUGGACUUGCUGGUGCCAUGACUGUGCUGACCGCAGCGAGCUCGGAGCAGGUCCACCAGGUGACUGUGUAUUUAACUGCUCUGCAGGCGACCCUCAGUGACGGAGCAGAAAACUGAGCCAAGGUCUCCCUGAAGGAGGCCGAACCAUUAGGCCAUAGAUAACUGCCCUGAGAAUUUGCUUUUCAGCCUGGAUUCUGCUGUAGCAGCAAGUGCAGGUGAAGUGUGUGAUACCGAGGGCAAGAAGGUGUCUCUUUGAAAGUGUCAAUAAAAGAGACGCUGUUGGAAUGAACUCUCUGGCUUGGUUUUUUUAAACAUGAAUAUGGUUAUUUAGUGAGAAGCGCAUGCUUGCAGGAACAGGAGUGAAGUUAGGACAUGGUGCCUGAACUACCGUCCCAUCCUUGAGUGCAAACUGACGUUAUGGAGGCAGGAGAAAUGGCAAGGCUGUUGCCUGGGCUCUUGUAGGUCUGUGGGUGAAAGAACUUUAAUCUCCAGAGUUGUCAUCAAAUACUUAACUGCCUUGCAAGAUCUGAGGAAGGAAAAACGUAUAUUAAUUUGAUGCUCAACAUGCUUUUUUAACUUGAGAGGAGCUUGGUCUUUUAGCCUUCUGUGGCUGCCAUUUUAGGCUUGUUUCCCUAGGGCAAAAA